RNAcentral lists this ribosomal RNA (223 nucleotides) under uncultured bacterium. Its description in RNAcentral is "partial 16S ribosomal RNA". It matches the Rfam family "Bacterial small subunit ribosomal RNA", at positions 111 to 334 of the family's 1533-position model. The record is from RNAcentral.
UAACACGUGGAUAACCUGCCUCACACUGGGGGACAACAGUUAGAAAUGACUGCUAAUACCGCAUAAGCGCACAGUACCGCAUGGUACAGUGUGAAAAACUCCGGUGGUGUGAGAUGGAUCCGCGUCUGAUUAGCCAGUUGGCGGGGUAACGGCCCACCAAAGCGACGAUCAGUAGCCGGCCUGAGAGGGUGACCGGCCACAUUGGGACUGAGACACGGCCCAA